Molecule: ribosomal RNA, 185 nt
Filed under: uncultured bacterium
Lineage: Bacteria
Description: partial 16S ribosomal RNA
Rfam family: Bacterial small subunit ribosomal RNA
Source: RNAcentral
CCUACGGGAGGCAGCAGUAGGGAAUAUUGCACAAUGGGGGAAACCCUGAUGCAGCAACGCCACGUGUGGGAAGAAGCAUUUCGGUGUGUAACCACUGUCAUGAGGGAAUAAGGCCCGCCUCCGGGCGGAUUGAAUGUACCUUGAGAGGAAGCACCGGCAAACUUCGUGCCAGCAGCCGCGGUAAU